AUGGUCUCUAACCUUAGUCAUAGUUGCUUCUUUCCCUCCCUAUUGCUUAUUUAUAGCUUCAACAACAUUUUAUUCAACAUCUGUUCCAUGCCAGCCACUUAUUUUAUUUAUUACAUUCUUACAGUAAAUCAACGAAGAAGAAGAAAAAAAGAAACCCUUGUUACCCAGGCUGGAGUGCAGUGGCGCUAUCUCAGCUCACCACAACCUCCACCUCCCAGAUUCAAGGUGGACUCACUUGUUAAGAUUCUCUGCAAGUUAGAGAUUGAAGCCAAAGGCAAGAUGAAACUGGGAUUUGCAGGGAUCAAAAGCCCUAAGGGAUGUGGCCGUGAGUAUGUAGGUAGCAGCUGUAGCUUGGAAGACGGUUCUUAUUCAAACCUACACCCACCUGUCUUUGGCUCCUGUGCUUCUCUGGCUCAGGGUUUUCUGAGGUCAUAGAAGCUAGCUCAGGUGGGGUUCAGAGAAAGCCAGAAGAGCUGGUGAGUUUGUGUCCUCAAGGACAACUCUCACAUAAUGAGGACAGUGGUUGAUGAAUAAAAAUCUCAGCUUCUUUGUGCCUUGGUGGAGAAAUCUGAGGUGUGUUCUACACAGACAAUUAGAGGUUCCCCGUAAAGACGAACGCAGUUGCACCCAGGAGUAUCCCAUUCAUGAAUGCAAAACUUGUUGGAUUUUAUCCCUUCCUGGACUCACCUUCCCAUACUUUCAUCCAGCUCUUUGGCAUCAUCUCCAUAAUAUACUAGUUGCACCUAUCCUAUCUCUCACCCUAACACCCUCAUUGCUGGUGCUUUCUGAUAAGGUGUAGGUGAAAGGAGAAGUACUGGCAUCUACUAGCCCUACCAACUGAAAAACAUGUCAGCCAAUAGUAGCUAAAAUAAUUUGAAUCCAGUUCUCAUUUGUAAAGAAUUGUAAUAAAAAUAAUUAUUUAUAAAAAAUAAUGUUUAAUGUUGAGUUUCAGCCAGGAAUUAACUCAAGAUACACUGUGAAAGCCAAAAGAUUUCCUUGGCUUUUUUAAAGAGACUACAUUUCUUGCAGCUGGAGCACAAACUAGUACUGAAAAUAAAGCGGAAACUUUAAUUGUAAGAGUGAUGAAAUUACAGAGCAGACAUUCA
Molecule: long non-coding RNA, 1106 nt
Filed under: Callithrix jacchus (white-tufted-ear marmoset)
Lineage: Eukaryota; Metazoa; Chordata; Mammalia; Primates; Cebidae
Description: lncRNA (ENSCJAG00000077547.1)
Source: RNAcentral